Molecule: ribosomal RNA, 465 nt
Filed under: uncultured Klebsiella sp.
Lineage: Bacteria; Pseudomonadati; Pseudomonadota; Gammaproteobacteria; Enterobacterales; Enterobacteriaceae
Description: bacterial SSU rRNA
Rfam family: Bacterial small subunit ribosomal RNA
Source: RNAcentral
CCUACGGGUGGCUGCAGUGGGGAAUAUUGCACAAUGGGCGCAAGCCUGAUGCAGCCAUGCCGCGUGUGUGAAGAAGGCCUUCGGGUUGUAAAGCACUUUCAGCGGGGAGGAAGGCGUUAAGGUUAAUAACCUUGUCGAUUGACGUUACCCGCAGAAGAAGCACCGGCUAACUCCGUGCCAGCAGCCGCGGUAAUACGGAGGGUGCAAGCGUUAAUCGGAAUUACUGGGCGUAAAGCGCACGCAGGCGGUCUGUCAAGUCGGAUGUGAAAUCCCCGGGCUCAACCUGGGAACUGCAUUCGAAACUGGCAGGCUAGAGUCUUGUAGAGGGGGGUAGAAUCCCAGGUGUAGCGGUGAAAUGCGUAGAGAUCUGGAGGAAUACCGGUGGCGAAGGCGGCCCCCUGGACAAAGACUGACGCUCAGGUGCGAAAGCGUGGGGAGCAAACAGGAUUAGAUACCCCGGUAGUC